This 56-nucleotide microRNA precursor is filed under the name Heligmosomoides polygyrus. RNAcentral describes it as "microRNA hpo-mir-34 precursor". Its record names the gene hpo-mir-34. The record is from miRBase by way of RNAcentral. Lineage: Eukaryota; Metazoa; Nematoda; Chromadorea; Rhabditida; Heligmosomidae.
UGGCAGUGUGGUUAGCUGGUUGCAGCCGGUGACAACGGCUAUCAACACUGCCGUCC